This 254-nucleotide ribosomal RNA is filed under the name uncultured bacterium. Its description in RNAcentral is "partial 16S ribosomal RNA". It matches the Rfam family "Bacterial small subunit ribosomal RNA", at positions 524 to 776 of the family's 1533-position model. The record is from RNAcentral.
GACAGAGGGGGCAAGCGUUGCUCGGAAUUACUGGGCGUAAAGAGCUCGUAGGCGGUGUGUCACGUCGGCCGUGAAAACCUGCAGCUUAACUGUGGGCGUGCGGUCGAUACGGGCAUCACUGGAGUUCGGCAGGGGAGACUGGAAUUCCUGGCGUAGCGGUGAAAUGCGCAGAUAUCAGGAGGAACACCGGUGGCGAAGGCGGGUCUCUGGGCCGAUACUGACGCUGAGGAGCGAAAGCGUGGGGAGCGAACAGG